AUACUGCCGUGCUGAGGGAAAACGUCGUAUGAACAUUCGAGAGUUGCCAAAUUUCCUUCACUAAAAUGUUUAUUUUUAAGGAAAUUUAUGAAUACUUUCCCCUGAAAUUCUCAAGAAGGUUGGGUGGAAUUGCGAACGAAAUUAUCUGAGAAAUUGAAAGAAGAAUAUUCAUAAGUUUACCGAGAAAGUCGUGUUUUAUCCAAGGAAAGGCAACGCCUGAAGAUUCAUACGGCGUUUCCCUUACAUUAGCACGGGAGUCUAGGUGAGGCAGCUUCGAUUAAUAUCGAUUGUUUUACACGCAUUUAAAUAGACAAAAGCAGGGUUGCCAACUUUAUGAAUUGCCGGUGCCGAUCCCUGCAUCCGCGUCCUCCCUCGAUCAUUCGGAGCAGUAUCUUAUCUUAAGGACCGCCUUCCUAGUCUCGCCCUGUUGAAUCACGCUUCCCGGGCAAACUAUCUCAUGAUACGUUAAAGACCAUUACAACCAUCCAUAAGUGUAUCGCGGCACUCAUGAUCUUACAUGAAUUCUGUGUCAUCACUCAUCUAGUCUUGCAUCGAUUAUCGCGCGUGCGUGUUAGUGAAUUAAUCGAUUGCUGAGAGCUGCGGCACGAGCGUUCGACGAAGUGGACUGGAAAUCAGGUUCUGCUGGUGGAAAAAUGAUUGAGUAAUAAAAGGAAAGCAGAGAGUGGAAAGAAGAUACUGUCUAACGAGACCAUAGGUAUCUCGAAAAUGAAUAAGAAACUUCUAUCCACUUUUCGUGAAGCAUAACAUCUGUGCUGGUCCAAUGACCACUAAACAGAUACUCAUGAGGCAGAUGUCGCUGCAGGCGCGGCUGAAGCUACGCAAGAGCCAGCGGAUAUGGUUCUUCCUCCUGGCCGCGGGUACGUUGAUCAGCCUCUCCCUCCUGUUCGGCGCCCGGCGGCAUCGGACCCACCUUUCCCAGUUUCUAGCAGCCCCUUACAAGGGCCCACCCCCCGAUGACCUCUGGGCGAACAUCAACAACGAGACGGGAGCCGCCGAGCUCAUCGUCCCCAACAUCGUCCACUUCGUGCUCUUCGAGGACCCGAAGAUCAGCUUCAUCCACUUCGUCUGCAUUCUGGCGGCACUGCGAAACCAGCGGCCGGAGAAGAUCUACUUCCACGGGAACGUGGCGCCCUCUGGCGGCUACUGGGAGCGGCUCAUGAAAUUGAAGCCCUUCACCGAGCGCCUCGAGAUGCGGCGCGUGGAGCUGCCGACGGAGAUCUCCGGGGUGAAGAUCCAGCCCGGGUGGCGGAUUUUCCACGGAGGUGACGUCACCCGGAUCCGGGUGCUCAUGGAGUACGGAGGCAUCUUCCUCGACAGCGACUCGUACGUCGUCAGGAGUCUCGACUACUUCCGACGCUUCGAGAUGUCUAUCGGCUGGGAUGAAAAUCAGUUCCUCGGUUCUCAGAUCAUAGUAGCCCACAAGGACGCUCGUUUCCUGUACCACUGGCUGCACAGCUACGACGGUGCGUACGACCCGAAAAAGUGGUACUAUAACGCUGGCGAGCUGCCCACCACCUCGGUCCUCUACCACCAUCCGGAACUCGUUCACCGCGUCAAAGUCCUCUUCGGCAACGACCUGAAGUUCAUCCACAAUCUCUUCAGCAGGUACUGGCCGGGCUGGCGGGAGAACUACACCUUCCACCUCCUCGCCAGACACCAGUACAUGCUCAGAAACAUCUCUUCCGUCGCCACCUACCCCGUCGUCUUCGAUGAGUUCAACCUCCAGCAUUACCCCAUCACCUUCCGCGAGAUGGCCAACGAGGUUCUCGAUUACGAGAAGCAACUCUUGGGGAAACCUAUCAAGGGACCAGCAGGCUGAUUGUAAAAAUUGAUAGACAAGGCGAUAGAAUUGGUGGAAGCGGGUGGUUGCAAUGGACAAAGGACGUAGGUAAAAGACUAACUAACGGCAACCCACGAGAGACCCGAUAGUUAGUCCAUCAUUUACCCCCUUAGUCUAUAAAAACCACUUAUUUCAACCAAUAGGAUCGCCCUAUACUCCAUGUCUUCUUUGUCUAUAGCUUUGUCUAUAAAUUUCAAUAAUCGACCCGCAGCAGGGUUGAAAUUUAUAGACAAAGCUACAGACAAAGGGAGCAUGGAGCUAUCCUAUUGGUUGGAUGGGUGGUUCCUGUAGACUAAGGGAGAAAUUUGUAGACUCAUUAUCGAGUCUUCCGUGGGUUGUCUAUGUGUCUUGUGAGUUAGUCUAUUACCUACCGCCUUUAUCCAUCGCAACCACCCUUUUCCUCUGAUAGGAUCCCUUCAUAUCCCUGUUGUCUUCUUCGUCUAUCGCUUUGUCUACCAAUUUAAACAAUCAGUCCGCAGGUUGAGCUUUCACGUUUGGCUAAUUUGUGUUAAAAGCAGCUAUGAGCAAAUGUUCCUUUAAAACUAAGGGGUGCGCUCCCUGGCCGUUUCGCGGCCCAACCCUUAAGGAAGGCCGAUGGAGACUCACUCCCUCUAAGGCCCACUUGCCGUUUUUUAAUCUUAACAGGGCGGCUUCAUCAAGGGACUAUCUCCUAUCGACGGCUUGAAAAUUCAUGAGAGUCGGCCUGGUUGAUCUUUCGGACGAAUUAUGGCAAAACAAAAAAAUUUACAUCGUUUAAAUGGGAGUAUUCACAACUCCAUCACGUGAUAUAGAAGGACCUAGGUUCCAAAAUCUGAAUAAAGCCGACCUAGGGCUUGUUGACUGUUGAUACCUGGAAAAUCACGGAAAUCAAACUGUGGAACGGUAAAACGAACUGUGACAAAAGUUGGCCCAAAUGUGAUGAAAUUUAUUUAAAGGCAGACGUAGAACAAAGUCCGAUAGAGUAAGAUGGAAAUUUUGAAAAAAAAUUGGAUGUGGGAGGAACCCGAAAAAAUCUCGUUUACUCGAAAUCUGCGUGUCUCUAAGUGCCCUAUCACAUCAUCAGACCUAGUAAAAAAUGUAUGGUUGAUCUCAUUAGUUUUUUAAGAUGUACGUAUGAUGAGUUUACGUUUGUAAGUUGUUAUGUUUUAUGUUAAUUUUAAUAAAUUUAGCGUCUGGUUCAGUCGAUGCACAAAUAUCAUUUAGACGAUGGAGUUCAAAAAGAGUUCCUUAAAAUAAAAAUGAAGAAGUAGAAAAUAACCGAAUUCCUGUAAAUGACAACCAAUAACUUAUCAGAAAUCAAUUUGCAAGUCACCCUAAUGUUAUGUAUCAGUACAUGGUUGCUUCAAACCGAGUCUCCGUGCUCAUAAUGUUUCACUAAAGAAAGCUGUAUUGUAUCGCAACGUUUUGAAGGCGCUGGGGGCUAAAGCAAAUAAUUCAGGAUGAUACGAUGCCGAUUCUUACAGACAAAUAGCUAGAGCUACUACAAAAAACAAUAAUUAAAUACUCGUAAAUAACAUUUGUGCGAGUAUAAUUAUGUAGGAAAAUUUGAAAGAUAUGGACUGGUCAUAUUAGUAACAGAAUUAUUGAUUAUUGGAGUUACAAGGAUGCCCUCCGCCCUGCGCCUGCGUAUGGGUAUGCAAAUAUAUUUAAUGUCUGGUUCCGAGGUAUGAAAAAAUAGUUUUAAUGGACAGUUUAUUUUCAUAGAAUCGAAAUUGCAACGUCUCAUUAAUUUUUGCGGGUUUAAUUUUGAGACAGUUUAUCAUCAAAAUUCCUUUUAAAUUUUUCUUAUUUUGAGUCUGUGGAUGAAUAGGAAAAGACAGUAAUUUACUCCCUCGGAAACUAGAAUGGCUUAGACAUGUAGGUAGCAGAUUUUAACCAACUCCUCGUAGAUUUAGGUCGUGAUAGCAUUAAUGAAAUUUGGGCUCUGCGAGAGUCAGAAGAGUUCAGCAAUUGGCAUUGAAGAGUUUAGAAUAAAAAUUUGCUUACGAGAAAUUUGUUGAAAACAUUUUUGACGCGGAAUUUUUCUCUUGCGCCACUUACUGGCAUCAGCGGACGCAUAUAAGCCAUCCAGACAGAGCGCGUCCACUGAUAACAGUGAAUAGCACGAGUAAGAAAAAGAGGGGGGAAAGAAGAAAUUUAUUAAAAUAACUGUCAUGCACGCUGGGCUUGUCGAUUUCCUUUGACAUUUUUGCAGUGGUUAAUGCAUAGCUGAAAGGCGCUCCAGCUAGAAUUGUAUUUAGCAAAUGGGAGGUUUUUAUGCGAGGAUUAAAAAUAAAGAAGUGGUAAGGAAUAAAACAAAAGAAUAGGAACUAUGCAAAACGAUAAUCCGGGAAUCGGAACUUGGCUGUUUUGAAAACGCCUUCAAAUGAGGUGUGAUACCUCACGCAUUCCGGAGAGUUCAAAUAGUUGUAUCAUUGCGCCUUAGAAAUGCAACGGAAGAUUACAAUAAAAUAUUACAUUUACUAGAGUGUGUUCGGAAAGGAAAACGAGUCCUUUAAGAUCUGGUGCAGCUUUUAAUUACAGUAUACCAGUUAACUAGAAAGGUCUGAAAGAAGUGCAGAGAAAUCUCGCUAAAUCGAACUACGGUUAAGACGAAAUCUAGCUUAGGUCGAAAAUUCUUCCGAUCCAGACACCGCCGUAAGACGCAACGUAAAUAACUACGAUUUUCACGAAUGUGUGACUUUUGCCGCAGAGAAAGCUGCUUAAAUCAGAGAAAAAUGUUUGCAAACCCAACAAAAAUUAGAUUUUAAACGUAGAAAAUCAAGAGGAAAGGGCGGUUUUGAGCGAUUCUGUUAUAAACUUGGUUCAUUCAGAGUUAUCUGUGUGGAACGUCUCUACUUAUUUUUUGCUCAGGAAUCUAAGAAAGCUUAAACUUUGAAUAUAUUAAAAGCAGUGGUUAAAUAACAUUUUCCUUUGAUCGAAAUACAAUUUUUUUAGUCAAAUAAAUUUCGUUUAGGUACUUAAAAGAUAAUUUUCUUUAGAUUAAUUUUCUUUUAAAUUAAUCGUUUUUAAUUGAAAAAAAGUAUUUCAGACCAAAAAAAAAUUAUGACUCAAAAUUUUUUUCAUCCAACGAAAUGGUUUGUGAUCAUUUUUUUCGUGUACAUAAAAAUCAAAAUGCGACGAGGUGUUGAUGGACUCUGACGUGACAACGCCGAAAACAAGUACAUGUGAACCACGUGUAAUUACAAAAUGAGUGGACCCAAUUAUAGUAAUUUCCUCCCGGAAGCGAGAUAUGAAUAGUGCGUCCUGUUGUCCCGCAGUUGAGGAGUCAAGGUACUCGCAGGAAGAAUCAGAGUGCUCGGAGGAGAAUUCUUCUUAUCACGACUGGGUCUCGCCAUUCUGCAGGUAAGAGCACGAACAAAUAUGUACCCACAUUCCAUAUCGUGUGGUUGUAGCGUUCAUACUUUCCUCCAUAAAAUCAAAAUGUACGUCUUAAGUAAAGAGGUAAAAAUUUUCGGUCCUACGAUUAUUCAGACAUCGAAGGGGUCAAAGACUGAUUCCACGGGGGUAUAUUUUACAACCUAACCUUCAAACCUGUUGGGAGAGUGCGUCAACUUAGCUUUUAAGUAUUUUAGAAACUUUAUCUGCAAAAUCA
Molecule: long non-coding RNA, 5456 nt
Filed under: Bemisia tabaci
Lineage: Eukaryota; Metazoa; Arthropoda; Insecta; Hemiptera; Aleyrodidae
Description: lncRNA ENSSSA1NGG012001
Source: RNAcentral